This 61-nucleotide transfer RNA is filed under the name Weissia angustifolia. Its description in RNAcentral is "Weissia longifolia var. angustifolia partial tRNA-Phe". It matches the Rfam family "tRNA", at positions 1 to 59 of the family's 71-position model. Rfam says of the family: Transfer RNA (tRNA) molecules are approximately 80 nucleotides in length. Their secondary structure includes four short double-helical elements and three loops (D, anti-codon, and T loops). Further hydrogen bonds mediate the characteristic L-shaped molecular structure. tRNAs have two regions of fundamental functional importance: the anti-codon, which is responsible for specific mRNA codon recognition, and the 3' end, to which the tRNAs corresponding amino acid is attached (by aminoacyl-tRNA synthetases). tRNAs cope with the degeneracy of the genetic code in two manners: having more than one tRNA (with a specific anti-codon) for a particular amino acid; and 'wobble' base-pairing, i.e. permitting non-standard base-pairing at the 3rd anti-codon position. The record is from RNAcentral. Lineage: Eukaryota; Viridiplantae; Streptophyta; Bryopsida; Pottiales; Pottiaceae.
GCCGGAAUAGCUCAGAGGUUAGAGCAGAGGACUGAAAAUCCUCGUGUCACCAGKUCAAAUA